Molecule: ribosomal RNA, 253 nt
Filed under: uncultured bacterium
Lineage: Bacteria
Description: partial 16S ribosomal RNA
Rfam family: Bacterial small subunit ribosomal RNA
Source: RNAcentral
UACGUAGGUGGCAAGCGUUGUCCGGAUUUAUUGGGUUUAAAGGGUGCGUAGGCGGCCCUGUAAGUCAGUGGUGAAAUACUGCAGCUUAACUGUAGCAUUGCCAUUGAUACUGUAGGGCUUGAGUACAGAUGAGGUAGGCGGAAUUGAUGGUGUAGCGGUGAAAUGCAUAGAUACCAUCAAGAACACCGAUUGCGAAGGCAGCUUACUAAGCUGUAACUGACGCUGAGGCACGAAAGCGUGGGGAUCGAACAGG